Molecule: ribosomal RNA, 251 nt
Filed under: uncultured bacterium
Lineage: Bacteria
Description: partial 16S ribosomal RNA
Rfam family: Bacterial small subunit ribosomal RNA
Source: RNAcentral
GACGAAGCGUGCAAACGUUGUUCGGAUUCACUGGGCUUAAAGGGCACGUAGGCGGGGAAUCGGGUUGAAAGUGAAAGUCGCCAAAAAGUGGCGGAAUGCUCUCGAAACCAAUUCACUUGAGUGAGACAGAGGAGAGUGGAAUUUCGUGUGUAGGGGUGAAAUCCGUAAAUAUACGAAGGAACGCCAAAAGCGAAGGCAGCUCUCUGGGUCCCUACCGACGCUGGGGUGCGAAAGCAUGGGGAGCGAACAGG